This 288-nucleotide long non-coding RNA is filed under the name Brassica napus (rape). RNAcentral describes it as "long non-coding RNA (BNAP_LNC023922)". Lineage: Eukaryota; Viridiplantae; Streptophyta; Magnoliopsida; Brassicales; Brassicaceae. The record is from RNAcentral.
CCAAAGGUUACGAACAUCAAAAGGUACGAGGACUAAGAGGCAUGAUUGGCCAAAGGGUGCAUGUUCCAAAUGGUGUCUUUCGAGACAGAUUAGGACCGAUCCUUACGGAUCAGCCUAUGGCUUGUCUAGUUAGGACAAGGUCACGGUUUGUCUAAGCCAAGAUAGAGUCGCAAGGUCUGACCGUUUGCUAAGCCUUCCGGAUUAGGCUUGAGGCUUACUCGGCCGAUUGGAUCCAGGCAUAAGGCCGGAUCAGGUAAGGGAGUCCGUUGGGCCAUUGAGCCGGACUUC